AUCCAAAUGACGAGUCUCAAAUGGGACGAAACGCGCGUCCUGGAU
This 45-nucleotide non-coding RNA is filed under the name Schistosoma margrebowiei. Lineage: Eukaryota; Metazoa; Platyhelminthes; Trematoda; Strigeidida; Schistosomatidae. The record is from RNAcentral.